GAUAAACGCUGGCGGCGUGCCUUACGCAUGCAAGUCGAACGGUUCAUCUUCGGAUGGGCAGUGGCGGACGGGUGAGUAACACGUACGUGACCUACCGCGCAGCGGGGGGAUACCGGUGCGAAAGCGCCGCUAAUACCGCAUACGCUCCCUGGGGGUGCUUGGGGAGGAAGGGGCUUCGGCUCGCUGGGUGAGGGGCGUGCGGCCGAUUAGCUAGUUGGUGGGGUAAGGGCCUACCAAGGCGACGANCGGUAGCUGGGCUGAGAGGCCGAACAGCCACACUGGGACUGAGAGACGGCCCAGACUCCUACGGGAGGCAGCAGCGAGGAAUUUUGCGCAAUGGGUGAAAGCCUGACGCAGCAACGCCGCGUGGGUGAUGAAGGCCUUCGGGUCGUAAG
RNAcentral lists this ribosomal RNA (395 nucleotides) under uncultured bacterium. Its description in RNAcentral is "bacterial SSU rRNA". It matches the Rfam family "Bacterial small subunit ribosomal RNA", at positions 28 to 429 of the family's 1533-position model. The record is from RNAcentral.